AGUCAAUUAGGGGUGUUUUGAAAGCACUGAUUAGGUACCUUCUUUGUGCCUUUGGCUUUCAUUUUUACUUUUCGUAGUCCAAU
RNAcentral lists this transfer RNA (83 nucleotides) under Bemisia afer. RNAcentral describes it as "tRNA-Ser". Lineage: Eukaryota; Metazoa; Arthropoda; Insecta; Hemiptera; Aleyrodidae. The record is from RNAcentral.